UUCCCUAGCAGUUCAUUGGUUAAGACUCAGCACUUUCACUGCUGGUGGGCCCAGGUUCAAUCCCUGGUUGGGAAA
Non-coding RNA from Ovis aries (sheep), 75 nucleotides. NCBI's taxonomy places the organism in Eukaryota, Metazoa, Chordata, Mammalia, Artiodactyla, Bovidae. The record is from Rfam.